CCGUCUCAUCGUGACUAUAAAUAUCUCCCUAAUUCUCGUUUUUAGUUUUCUUUUCGAGUGUCUAGAGAAAUCAAACAUCAAAUUACUCUGCCUCUUCGUCGCCCAGUCCCAGCGUUUUCGGUCUCCUCCCGCGAGUCAUCGCAUGCUAUCCAUUUCUUCUGUUCAGUUCGAUCACUUCCUGCAUCGGCAUGGAAUAUCGCCUCGGAAGAUAGUUCUCAGAUCUGUUUGGUUAGCUUCAAUCCGCGAGGAGAAGAAAACUGAAAAAAGCGAGAGUCCGAGCUCAACUGUUCCUCUGUGCCUGCGGAUUACCAGGAAAGGAACAUUUCAUCGAUAGAUUGAAAUAAACUACAAAAGAGUCCGAACAAGAGGAUUUACAAAAAAAAAACUCUUCCACUGUGAAAUGAGGGAAGAAGGGGUGUAAUUACAAAAGGAGGUUGUGUUUUUUACACCACAAAAGAGAAAAGCAAGUAGUAUUCUGCAUGGUUGUGUCAAAAUUUGGUUGUUUUUCUGUGAAGACUCGAGUGUUGUGUUCUUUCCAAAUACUCCAGAAUAAAGCUCUGAUGAGUUUUUUUUCCUGUUUUUAUUGGAUGUCCUGUGAGAAUGUCGGAAAGGAAAGUGUGAUUUUUGUUGGGGAAGGCAGUAAACCAACCGAAGGAUGCAAUCAGCAUGAUCAAGUGUAUCUGUGUUUCAGCAUCCCUGUAACAAAGAGGACAUAAUUGUGGGAGAGAUAGAGCCAAGGGAGCCUCCUUUGUAGACAAUCUUGAGUUAUGAUGCAUGAAUGGCUGAGCUCCCAUAUAAAACUUUUGAUCUUCUUAGGGUAAGCCCCUUUUCCAAUAUGAGAAUAAAUGUUAUCACCUCCCGUGCAAGAAGAAGUCCAUGUUUGAGAGAGGGACUUCGAAGAAAAAAAUCUCAUCCUUUUCAACGUUCCAAGGCCAGUAAUCAGCAUUCUGUGAGGAGGUAAAUUGGGAAAGCAAGUUGGAGUGAUUAACCCACUUUUCAAUUUCAGCUUCUCUAAUGUUCCUUCUGGAGAGAAGGUUCCCGGAUCGAUUCUCAGAGGACCAACAAUUUCUUGCAGUCACCUGCAUUCCGUUAUCUACUGCUGGAACAGUUUACUGUAGUUGAGCAAGAGAGAUUCAAGCAGGAGAGAAGAGAAUGGGAAAGAAAAAGGAACGACCAUUGAAAGAGUGAUGGAAUCAAUUGACGAAUGGUAACAAAAGCAAUUGGCGAAGGGAUGACUACAGGUGGUGGCAAGCGAUGAAAGCUGGGAGGAAAGGAGGAGAAGAAGGGUAGUGGGCCCAAGAGCUUUUGAACGAGGCAAGAGAGAAGAAAUGAGGAUAAAAAAAAAAGACUGGCAAAUGGUGACGGAAACGACCAACAAACCGACCGGAAAACAACGAAGGGACAACAACCGGCGGCUUCUGUGGCACGCAAGGGGGACUUUGAGCAACAUCACUCGCUCAAGAAUCCCAGAUUCAUGCUCUCACGACUGUUGUUUAGGAUCUUUCUUUCAGCAUGUCAGAAGUAUCGAUGGGUACUAAUACGUCCAAAUUCACAAUCAUUCUGGAUGCAACUAGCAAAGCCAGUAAUUCACCAGGUCUGUUCUUCUUAUCCUAGUCAAAUUUCUAAACCCUCCUCUCCUCCCCACCCCCACAUUCCACAACAUACUCGUACUAGCAAUAACUGUGAUGUGCAAUACCUAUUAGUCAUCAUCGUAUCAGAAUCUUUACUAAUAGGAAAUCUAGAAAUUUGUGUUUCAACAAACAUACAUGAUUCUUUGGCUAAUAUGUCUGAUAUCCAGAGGAAAGGAAAAAUAAUAGUUCUUGUGCUAAAGAAUACCUUGACUUCAGAAGUCGAGUUCCCAAGCUGAUGGUGCUCCUCUUUUGUUUUAUUAUAUCGUUCUAUUAGUGUUUUCAUGCUGGUAAUACAACAAAUAAACCAUGAGUUAGAGAUGGAAGUCCUCUUCCUAUUUCAUAAAUGGAUUAUCAUAUGAAAAACAUAAUGAUAUUUGCAAGAAAUGAAAAUUUAUUGGGAAGACAUGGAAAGUUGAAAAUAAAACAAUUACCUUGCGAGCCUUAUCAAUAGGAUGACCCUAUUUACUCCUGAUUCCUUUUAAUCUAGUUUUCCCAGAUAAACCUAAACUCUUAAUCUCAUAAAGUCGGCCCUUUACCUUUUCAAGAUUCUCCUCAGAAUUCUAUGGAAGAACAUCAAAUUUUCUGGUAGGUAGAAUGAAAUUUGUAGUCUCAUGACAACAUUAGAGGGGUGGUAAAUAAGGUUGCCUAACAAUUGAACGAAUCUUUUCAUUAAAUCCAAUGGCCAGUUUAUCCUACGAUAUCCAAAGUUGAAUUCAAACAAAUAAAUUUUAACAAGUUCACCUAUUAUGCAGAUAAUAAUGAAAUAAUAUUCAGAACUAUGUUCAAAACAAUACAUGGUCAGCAAUAAAAUUUACAAUUUAUCAAUGAAUUCAUAUUAGAGUAUGAACAGCACUUAAAUUGAAGAGGUGGGAUAGAGAGUUUAAACACAAAUUUGCGACCUAUGAUGAAACCUAAUUCUCAAUGUGUCUCCAUGAAUAUUUUAGUGCCAGCCAGUUCUUUUGUUGCCUAACUUAUUGCAUGGAGAUAUAGGUUAGCGAAUGGGGCGUUGAUAAUUGAAUAUAUUGCCUUUUCUAAUCUGUAGAGACAUGCAUCAUGCACUUUAAAUGUCUUCCAGUUGAAUGGUGCAAAUUUUAGGUAUCUACAUUAUGGAGUGUCACGUUGCUCAAAGUAAAGGAUUCCUUGCACUCAUCGGUCAGGUAUGCCUACAUAUUCUUAAAUCUUCCAUGGGUUAGUUGUAUGAUUUAAGCCCUAGAAUGUUUAAUCUGAGUUAACGUAAAAUUUUAUGUGAAUAUUUAUGGUGCACUCUUUUACCCUCUUUGUUUUGCCAAUCAUCUUGCUAGUUACAGAAACGAGAAAUUCAUUAAACUGAAAACAUGACCAAAAAAAAAUUUAAAGAUAGAGUAUCUCGUAGAAAAUUAUGAUUAUAAGGUUCACUGGGGAAAUCUUCUGUUUUACAUAGGAAUAAAACUUCAUCAACGAGAUACAACUGUAAGACAAAAGCUAAAGGAGUUGCAAGAAUCUUCUCCAUUGGCACAAACCACUCAGAACCAUUACAAAGACCCAAUAACGAACAAGAAAAAAAAAAAAAAAAGGACUCGUACAACGAAAAACACUUGAGCAAACAAAACAAAGUGAAACUUGCAAAGAAAGAGUCUAAAUAACCAAAAACGCAACCUCAAUGGCCGCCCUCAGAAAACCAAGAAGACAACGCCUGAGAACCAUAGAACUCCGAAACAAAAGGCCCGAAAACAGAGCCAAAUAGAAAAAUAGAGGAAAAACUAAGAUUCCUCAACCAAAUAGAAAAACCACCAAGGAGAAAAGCAAAAUUGAGCCCCAUAACACCAAGAGAGAAUCACUGAACCCAAACCUCAAGAGAACAAACAAACAUCAAAAACAAAUUCCUGGUGAGUCCAUGGAAGGAAUUGUACGCAUCUCAAGACCACAAGCAUUUAUAAAAGGAUUUAAGUUAUGCAUUAGUAGAGGUAACAAAAAUUCAGUUUUUCCGAAUGACCUGCCUCUCUUCUUUUAAAAAGAGUCUUCUAUCUACAAUGCCCAGAAAAUGGUCUUAAUGGCAUUGAGCCUCACCUCAUUUCUUUCUUAUGUAAAAAAAUGUUUUCCUCUAAGCUUCAUACUUGGGAAG
Molecule: non-coding RNA, 3732 nt
Organism: Cucurbita pepo subsp. pepo (vegetable marrow)
Lineage: Eukaryota; Viridiplantae; Streptophyta; Magnoliopsida; Cucurbitales; Cucurbitaceae
Source: RefSeq, a predicted model, not a curated record